AUUGAACGCUGGCGGCAUGCCUUACACAUGCAAGUCGAACGGUAACAGGUUAAGCUGACGAGUGGCGAACGGGUGAGUAACACAUCGGAACGUGCCCAAUCGUGGGGGAUAACGUAGCGAAAGCUACGCUAAUACCGCAUACGAUCUACGGAUGAAAGCGGGGGAUCGCAAGACCUCGCGCGAAUGGAGCGGCCGAUGGCAGAUUAGGUAGUUGGUGAGGUAAAGGCUCACCAAGCCUGCGAUCUGUAGCUGGUCUGAGAGGACGACCAGCCACACUGGGACUGAGACACGGCCCAGACUCCUACGGGAGGCAGCAGUGGGGAAUUUUGGACAAUGGGCGCAAGCCUGAUCCAGCAAUGCCGCGUGCAGGAUGAAGGCCUUCGGGUUGUAAACUGCUUUUGUACGGAACGAAACGGUCCUUUCUAAUACAGGGGGCUAAUGACGGUACCGUAAGAAUAAGCACCGGCUAACUACGUGCCAGCAGCCGCCGUAA
This 493-nucleotide ribosomal RNA is filed under the name uncultured bacterium. RNAcentral describes it as "partial 16S ribosomal RNA". It matches the Rfam family "Bacterial small subunit ribosomal RNA", at positions 30 to 523 of the family's 1533-position model. The record is from RNAcentral.